CGGCUGCUUCCUCUCCCUGCUCUCGGCCGCCGACCGGGCGCCAGCACCGGCACCCGCCACCCCACAGGACCCCCAGCUCUCCCCAGCAGCACCCCCACAGCAGCCAGGCAUCCCCAGCCCUGCACUGGGGGCUGCAGCACCCAGCAUCCGUCACCCAUUCCACCAGCUGCACCCCACCAGCCGUGGUGGGACUGCAGGGCUGUGGGGACGAGCAGCCCCAGUGUCCCCCCCUCUGCCCCAGGCACCAGCAUCCCACUGCCUGGCAUUUGCACCCAGGGGUGCCCCACAUACACCCCCAGCUCAGUCCAUCCCGCCCUGCUGCAAUCCCUGGCAGGAGCUUGGAAUGAGGGGAGGGUACCCAGGGGAUGCCCCCAACAAGGGGGACCCCCAUAUUGCUGCCCCAAGGGGCCAUGGGCAUGGGGCGAUCACCCCAAACCCCACAGCUGCUGGCAGCGGGGCAGGCUGGCUCUGUUCCUGGUGGGCCAUUCCAUUCUUGCUGGGCCCAGCUCCAUGGAUGGAGGUUUCCUGCCGGAGCCAGUGCAUUUGUGUUUCCGUAGCCCCCCCCCGAGCCGGAGGGACCCUGCAGCGAGGGGAAGGUGGCCCAGCAGCAGCCCAGACAGAGUGGAGCCAUGUGGCCACAUCGGUGCUGGGAGCGGAGGUGCCGCAGGGCCCAGGUGCAGGAGGAGAUCGAGCCUGGGGCCACCAAGGCGCCGGCUCUGCUGGCGGCUCCUUGCAGGGCCCUGCACGCUUCCUUCCUCCAGCCCAGCCCUGGCUUAUUGGCCGGGCAGGGUGAGGGGCGACCCUGCUCUCCCUUCCCCAGGCCUUCCGCUCCCCACGGCCCCGGGCAAGUUCCUGGCUCGCUGCCGCACUCCCACCGCACGUACAGCUGGCACCAGCAUCAUACAAUGGUUUGGGUUGGAAGGAACCUUAAAGAUCAUCCGCUGCCAGCCCCCUGCCACACCUCCCUCCAGACCAGGUUGCUCCAAGCCCCUUCCAACCUGGCCUUGAACCCCUCCAGGGAUGGGGCAGCCACAGCUUCUCUGGGCAACCUGGGCCAGGCUCUCACCACCCUCAC
RNAcentral lists this long non-coding RNA (1075 nucleotides) under Calidris pugnax (ruff). RNAcentral describes it as "lncRNA (ENSCPUG00000006272.1)". The record is from RNAcentral. Lineage: Eukaryota; Metazoa; Chordata; Aves; Charadriiformes; Scolopacidae.